RNAcentral lists this small nuclear RNA (178 nucleotides) under Chinchilla lanigera (long-tailed chinchilla). RNAcentral describes it as "U2 spliceosomal RNA (ENSCLAG00000020749.1)". It matches the Rfam family "U2 spliceosomal RNA". From Rfam's summary of the family: U2 is a small nuclear RNA (snRNA) component of the spliceosome (involved in pre-mRNA splicing). Complementary binding between U2 snRNA (in an area lying towards the 5' end but 3' to hairpin I) and the branchpoint sequence (BPS) of the intron results the bulging out of an unpaired adenosine, on the BPS, which initiates a nucleophilic attack at the intronic 5' splice site, thus starting the first of two transesterification reactions that mediate splicing. The record is from Rfam by way of RNAcentral. Lineage: Eukaryota; Metazoa; Chordata; Mammalia; Rodentia; Chinchillidae.
GUAUUUUCUCUUUAGAAGUUGAGUAUCUGUUCUUGCCAGUUUAAUAUCUGAUAGGUCCUCUAUCUGAGGACAAUAUAUUAAAGGGAUUUUUGGAGCUGGGAGAUGGGAUAGGAGUUUGCUCUGUCCACUCCGUGUAUUGACCUGGUGUUGCAGUAUAUGCAGAGGUUGAUUAUCUUAG